This 1046-nucleotide ribosomal RNA is filed under the name Escherichia coli. RNAcentral describes it as "partial 23S ribosomal RNA". It matches the Rfam family "Bacterial large subunit ribosomal RNA", at positions 698 to 1744 of the family's 2925-position model. The record is from RNAcentral. Lineage: Bacteria; Pseudomonadati; Pseudomonadota; Gammaproteobacteria; Enterobacterales; Enterobacteriaceae.
AGUUGCAGGGUAUAGACCCGAAACCCGGUGAUCUAGCCAUGGGCAGGUUGAAGGUUGGGUAACACUAACUGGAGGACCGAACCGACUAAUGUUGAAAAAUUAGCGGAUGACUUGUGGCUGGGGGUGAAAGGCCAAUCAAACCGGGAGAUAGCUGGUUCUCCCCGAAAGCUAUUUAGGUAGCGCCUCGUGAAUUCAUCUCCGGGGGUAGAGCACUGUUUCGGCAAGGGGGUCAUCCCGACUUACCAACCCGAUGCAAACUGCGAAUACCGGAGAAUGUUAUCACGGGAGACACACGGCGGGUGCUAACGUCCGUCGUGAAGAGGGAAACAACCCAGACCGCCAGCUAAGGUCCCAAAGUCAUGGUUAAGUGGGAAACGAUGUGGGAAGGCCCAGACAGCCAGGAUGUUGGCUUAGAAGCAGCCAUCAUUUAAAGAAAGCGUAAUAGCUCACUGGUCGAGUCGGCCUGCGCGGAAGAUGUAACGGGGCUAAACCAUGCACCGAAGCUGCGGCAGCGACACUAUGUGUUGUUGGGUAGGGGAGCGUUCUGUAAGCCUGUGAAGGUGUGCUGUGAGGCAUGCUGGAGGUAUCAGAAGUGCGAAUGCUGACAUAAGUAACGAUAAAGCGGGUGAAAAGCCCGCUCGCCGGAAGACCAAGGGUUCCUGUCCAACGUUAAUCGGGGCAGGGUGAGUCGACCCCUAAGGCGAGGCCGAAAGGCGUAGUCGAUGGGAAACAGGUUAAUAUUCCUGUACUUGGUGUUACUGCGAAGGGGGGACGGAGAAGGCUAUGUUGGCCGGGCGACGGUUGUCCCGGUUUAAGCGUGUAGGCUGGUUUUCCAGGCAAAUCCGGAAAAUCAAGGCUGAGGCGUGAUGACGAGGCACUACGGUGCUGAAGCAACAAAUGCCCUGCUUCCAGGAAAAGCCUCUAAGCAUCAGGUAACAUCAAAUCGUACCCCAAACCGACACAGGUGGUCAGGUAGAGAAUACCAAGGCGCUUGAGAGAACUCGGGUGAAGGAACUAGGCAAAAUGGUGCCGUAACUUCGGGAGAA